UGACAACAAAAAAACAAAACAAAACAGAAAACGGAAAACGGACGACGGAGACGGAUUAAAAUGUUGUUUGGAAGAAAAAAGGCUUUUCAAAAUGGAUUAAAGACAGUCGGCAAAAACAAGCCAGUGGUGUUUCAGAGGAUAGGAGACAUGAAGGUGCAGGAUGAGUAGAGACAAGCCAGCAGAAAGGUGGAGCAGAGGUAACUGUGUAUGAAGUACGACAAACUACUGGCUGAUGGACCUCGCGGCAGCUACCUCUUGAGACUCCUCCUUCUUGGGCAGGUACUCAGCAGUGCUGCUCCACACCUGUGCCGCGUUGGGUAAUCACGCAGACUUCUUAAGCUGACAGCAGACCUUCAGCCUUCGCUGGAUCAUUGACUAAGUCACUAUCCGCUGUGGAAGUUCCUGCGUGUGUUUUCCCUGUCGCCGCCUCGCCCUCUCGUCUCCUAACGCCACUUGUCAACACUGCCUUGCUACCCCCUUGCCGGAGUCUCGCCAGCCUGCUCUCACAUCACCCCAGCCACUGCUCACUCUCUCUGGAUUCCCCUUGGCAAACCUCACGCCAUCAGCCACCGCCCAGCCUGCGCUCGCCAAACCCCUUCAGGAAACUCUCAUUCAAUUCUGCACAAUCAAUAAAUCAAAUUGUCAUCUUUUAAGCGCUGUCUGUGUCCCCUCCUUCUCCAAGUCGUGACAAUUUUACUCAAAGUGGAAGAAAAAAAGAAUUCAAAAACUUGUUGAAGGAUUCAUAUAGUCAGAAAUCAA
This is a long non-coding RNA of Archocentrus centrarchus (flier cichlid), 759 nucleotides long. RefSeq lists it as uncharacterized. Lineage: Eukaryota; Metazoa; Chordata; Actinopteri; Cichliformes; Cichlidae. The record is from RefSeq and is a predicted model, not a curated record. The transcript is spliced from 4 exons.